UACGGAGGGGGCUAGCGUUGUUCGGAAUUACUGGGCGUAAAGCGCGCGUAGGCGGCUUUGUAAGUUAGAGGUGAAAGCCCGGAGCUCAACUCCGGAACCGCCUUUAAGACUGCAUCGCUAGAAUUGUGGAGAGGUGAGUGGAAUUCCGAGUGUAGAGGUGAAAUUCGUAGAUAUUCGGAAGAACACCAGUGGCGAAGGCGACUCACUGGACACAUAUUGACGCUGAGGUGCGAAAGCGUGGGGAGCAAACAGG
This 253-nucleotide ribosomal RNA is filed under the name uncultured bacterium. RNAcentral describes it as "partial 16S ribosomal RNA". It matches the Rfam family "Bacterial small subunit ribosomal RNA", at positions 524 to 776 of the family's 1533-position model. The record is from RNAcentral.